AGCUAUUGUGAAGUUCCAUGGGUGGAUAAUUUCUUGUAUAUCAUCAUCAUACUUCUGAUUUUCCUCUUUUCUCCUUUACUGAUUCCUUCUAAUUGUUGAAGUACCUCUUCUUUUUGCUCCAUUAAAUUAUCAAAAGUGCAAUUGUUUGACAUGACUUUAGGUCUAUUUCCUGUUAUAAUAGAAUGUAGCCUGUGUUGUGACUAUUCUGUAGUUGAUCCUUCAUUGAUGUCUUCUUGAAAUGGACUUGUAUCUGCUCAUGAAUUAUAAAAUAAUUAUUCAUCAACAAAAAGACCCCAUGAAUGUUCUGCCAAAAGCUAUCAGAUCAAGCAUUGCACAUUACCUGUUUUUACCAAUAGUUCAAAAUGUUAGUCUGUUCAGAGGCGUUUCCAGGGAUCUGCUUUUCCAACUGGUUCCUGAAAUGGACGUUGAAUACUAUCCUUCCAAGGAAGAUGUGAUUUUACAGAAUGAGUCUCAAACAGAUUUUUACAUAAUAGUCUCAGGAGCAUUGGAUAUUCUAGUAGAUAGCGAUGGACGUGAACAAAUCAUUGGGAAGGCUGUUGCUCGAGAAUCAUUUGGAGAAAUAAGUGUUUUACUUGGAAGGCCACAACCAUAUGUUGUUACAACAACUGAAAUUUCUAAAAUUUUAUGUCCGAGUAGGAAAACAUUUCUGAACAUUCUUCACGACAAUCAAGAAGAUGAACAGAUUAUAAUGAGAAAUCAUUUUCAGGAUUUGGAGGCUUUGAUAAUGUGGACGAGGAAAGCGAUCCAUGUUUAGUCUUCAACAACUGUUCUCAUGUUUCUAAGCAAGAUACGCCAACAAAUCCUAGCAAUCUGAUUAGUAUAAAUAUACAAACAUUAGAAGCUAGAACCAAUAAACAAGUUGAAAAUGAAAGUGAAAGUGGUGGACGUGAACACUAUAUAGUUCUUGAUCAUUCUGUAGUUUCCAAUGGGCAUAUUGAAAUGGCUCCGAGUCUAGUAGAAAAAAGGUGGAAAGAAGAUCAACUCUACACAGAACAUGGAGGAAACAAAAGCAUCCAUAAGGUCCCAUGCUAUUCUUAUUCAGGAGCAGAAUGUGAAGCUAAUAAUAUUACCUGAUACACUAGAAGAGCUAUUCAUACUAGUCACAACAAGGAGAACUGACAACGAUAGCUGAUCUUGCAGGUCCUGCUUAUAAGCUUGAGUUUCGGACAAUUGGCAAGAGAUUGAACUUGAGUGAAAAGCAGAGUCGAAGUGGAAUUUGGGGACUCGAAGAAAAUCACCUCAGUUUGCUUCCACAAAAUAGGUCUGCAUUAUCUCUUUUUUCCCUUGAAAUUCAAGCGUCUUCAUGCUUCUGUAAAGAAUAUGAAAAUUUCUUAGUUGUCAUUCAUGUGUGAUUGAGAGUAAGAGGAUUCACUUACUCAAAAACAUAUUAAUGUCAAUUUUGAUCAAAUCGUCAUUGUUUUUCAUUUAGCAAUAUGUGAUCAACAUCUUUGUUUAAACUGAUUAGUUUUAAGGAAAUUAUGGUUUAUACACUUCCCUUUUAUCCUUUUGUGGUUCAGUUUAUGUUACACACUUGGAGGUCAUGCUUUGAGACACAAUGAUCUGCUUCUGCUACUCAUUUUAUCUAGAAAAGAUUUAAGGUCUUAGGAUGAGUUUAUGGUGAGUUCUUGAGCUUUACAAUUUUAGAGUUCUAUCCACAAGACAUAAAUUUUUUAAAUGAUAUUCACCAUUUGAUAAAUAUGAGACUGUUUGUUUAUUUUUAAGCCUAAAACAUGCUUGAUUUCAAUGAAUCUCUUUGUCUUUUAUAUUUAGAACUUCGUACUUAGAAAAGUCAUUUAUUUACUUCAAAAGGCAACAUAUGCCUAUUUUUA
Molecule: RNA transcript, 1850 nt
Organism: Solanum tuberosum (potato)
Lineage: Eukaryota; Viridiplantae; Streptophyta; Magnoliopsida; Solanales; Solanaceae
Gene name: potassium channel KAT1-like
Exons: 7
Source: RefSeq, a predicted model, not a curated record